GACGAACGCUGGCGGCGUGCUUAACACAUGCAAGUCGAACGGAAAGGCCCUGCUUUUGUGGGGUGCUCGAGUGGCGAACGGGUGAGUAACACGUGAGUAACCUGCCCUUGACUUUGGGAUAACUUCAGGAAACUGGGGCUAAUACCGGAUAGGAGCUCCUGCUGCAUGGUGGGGGUUGGAAAGUUUCGGCGGUUGGGGAUGGACUCGCGGCUUAUCAGCUUGUUGGUGGGGUAGUGGCUUACCAAGGCUUUGACGGGUAGCCGGCCUGAGAGGGUGACCGGCCACAUUGGGACUGAGAUACGGCCCCGACUCCUACGGGAGGCAGCAGUGGGGAAUAUUGCACAAUGGGCGGAAGCCUGAUGCAGCAACGCCGCGUGCGGGAUGACGGCCUUCGGGGUGUAAACCGCUUUCGCCUGUGACGAAGCGUGAGUGACGGUAAUGGGUAAAGAAGCACCGGCUAACUACGUG
This 468-nucleotide ribosomal RNA is filed under the name uncultured bacterium. Its description in RNAcentral is "partial 16S ribosomal RNA". It matches the Rfam family "Bacterial small subunit ribosomal RNA", at positions 28 to 507 of the family's 1533-position model. The record is from RNAcentral.